AACGAACGCUGGCGGCAUGCCUAACACAUGCAAGUCGAACGAGACCUUCGGGUCUAGUGGCGCACGGGUGCGUAACGCGUGGGAACCUGCCCUUAGGUUCGGAAUAACUCCCCGAAAGGGGUGCUAAUACCGGAUAAUGUCUUCGGACCAAAGAUUUAUCGCCUUUGGAUGGGCCCGCGUUGGAUUAGCCAGUUGGUAGGGUAAAAGCCUACCAAGGCGACGAUCCAUAGCUGGUCUGAGAGGAUGAUCAGCCACACUGGGACUGAGACACGGCCCAGACUCCUACGGGAGGGAGCAGUGGGGAAUAUUGGACAAGGGGCGAAGGCGUGAUCCAGCAAUGCCGCGUGAGUGAUGAAGGCCUUAGGGUUGUAAAGCUCUUUUACCCGGGAUGAUAAUGACGGUACCGGGAGAAUAAGCACCGGCUAACUCCGUG
This 433-nucleotide ribosomal RNA is filed under the name uncultured bacterium. Its description in RNAcentral is "partial 16S ribosomal RNA". It matches the Rfam family "Bacterial small subunit ribosomal RNA", at positions 29 to 507 of the family's 1533-position model. The record is from RNAcentral.